Molecule: long non-coding RNA, 356 nt
Organism: Boleophthalmus pectinirostris (great blue-spotted mudskipper)
Lineage: Eukaryota; Metazoa; Chordata; Actinopteri; Gobiiformes; Gobiidae
Exons: 3
Source: RefSeq, a predicted model, not a curated record
AGAUGGAACUUUACAGUGGGGGCUGUGGAGAGGAGGAGUAGAGGAAGGAGGCUUAUAUACAUGUUGUCACACAAAAUACAGAGUCUGCCUGAGGUCCAGGCUCAGGUGCUGAGGUGGGACUGUCACGUGUCCAGCUCAAGAGACAAAGCACCAUGGCCUGUGUUCUCUCCAUGCUUCCCAAUGACGACCCGUGUGCUGUCCACCAACCUGCAGGAAACGCCUCAGAUGUCCCCUGUAUCCCCGAGUAACAGCUCCCCAAAGUGACAAACAAAGAAUAUACAGUACAGUGAGAUGGAACUUUAGACUGCAGGCUGUGGAGAGGAGGAGUGGAGGAAGGAGGCUUAUAUCCAUGUUAU